GAUGAACGCUGGCGGCGUGCCUAAUACAUGCAAGUCGAGCGAACGGACGAUAAGCUUGCUUUUCUGAUGUUAGCGGCUGACGGGUGAGUAACACGUGGAUAACCUUCCUAUUAGACUGGGAUAACUUCGGGAAACCGGAGCUAAUACCGGAUAAUAUUUUGUACCGCAGGGUUCAAAAGUGAAAGACGCCUUUCGUGUCACUUAUAGCUGGAUCCGCGCUGCAUUAGCUAGUUGGUAAGGUAACGGCUUACCAAGGCAACGAUGCGUAGCCGACCUGAGAGGAUGAUCGGCCACACUGGAACUGAGACACGGUCCAGACUCCUACGGGAGGCAGCAGUAGGGAAUCUUGGGCAAUGGGCGAAAGCCUGACGGAGCAACGCCGCGUGAGUGAAGAAGGUCUUCGGAUCGUAAAGCUCUGUUGUUAGGAAAGAAAAGAUGUGGAAGUAAAUGUGCACAUCUUGACGGUACCUAAUCAGAAAGCAACGGCUAACUACGUG
RNAcentral lists this ribosomal RNA (497 nucleotides) under uncultured bacterium. RNAcentral describes it as "partial 16S ribosomal RNA". It matches the Rfam family "Bacterial small subunit ribosomal RNA", at positions 28 to 507 of the family's 1533-position model. The record is from RNAcentral.